RNAcentral lists this transfer RNA (72 nucleotides) under Psyllaephagus sp. Its description in RNAcentral is "tRNA-Trp". Lineage: Eukaryota; Metazoa; Arthropoda; Insecta; Hymenoptera; Encyrtidae. The record is from RNAcentral.
AAAAUUUUAAGUUAAAAAAACUUUAAACCUUCAAAGUUUAAAAUAAUUGAAAAAUUAAACAAUUAAAUUUUA